CGCGGUUUCAUCGGUCUACGACAAUGUGUACUGUGACGUAUUAUAAAUCCGUCUAUAAAAAAAUUGGAUAGAAUAACAGACGUAAAAAUUCAAAGGUUAUAAUAAAUGGCAGCCAAUCGGAUCAUGAAAGUUCAUAUAUGUUUGAUGUAUUUUGUCUCAAUGAUUAAGGAAUAGAUGACACAAAUUUUUAUUUCUUUACAAGCAAUUACUUUUCAAGUUGUUCUAGUCGUUUUGCAGACAAAAACAACUUAUCCCACCAUCGUCAUGUUACGUAUUCACAUACGUUUCUCCCCAAAGAUACACCUUUUCAUAAAAAAAACGGAAUUUUGUUAAACAAUGAAAUGUUCUAAAUACUUAAAAAAAUUAAUAACAUCGAAAUAAUAAUAAGAAGAAAAAUACUUUAUGGAUUUAUUGCAAAAUAAACACGUCAGGAAUUUACGUUUGAGUCAGAAAGCGAAAUGAAAGACCAAAAGAAGAAACUAGGAUAGAGAUCGGGACAGUAUUUCUCACUCUGACAUUGUUUACUACACAAAUUGAUAGUCAUUGCACAUACAUAAAAUAAAUUUAAUUUUUCAAUUGGGACCAAUAAGGAGCCCACGAAUCAAUGACAAAGAUGAAAUUGGUAACAGUGUUGGAGCAGGUGAGGAGCCGCGAGGACGAGUAACGUAAUCUCUUGAGCAGGGACACUUUUGAAAUCUGGAAAUAUUCAGCGAAAAGACACAAAGGUAUAAGUUCUGAAAUAAAGUACAUUGAUAGAGAACGUUAAAAGAAUAUUACAAUACUAAAAAAAUGAACGUCUCCACGUAAAAACUGAUUUUACGCGAUAAUUAAUAUUAAUGCAAAAUAUGACGUCACAAGUCAUAACGUGUGCAAAAUAAUUUGCGAAUCAAGAGUAAAGAAUACCCAAAAUAUCUAUAAAACACUAUUCCUUAAUCUUUAAAAAUCAAAAAGAUAUGAAUUAGAGAAAAAGUAAUAAUAUACUCAAACAUAUUUGUCCUUGUAUAAGUUAAAAAUUAAUUUAUUUAUAGCGCCAUCUGUAUGAAAGAUAGAAUAUAAUACUUCAUACGAAAUAUGCUCAGUAAAAUCCGGACUAUUAGAUCCACAAACGAAAUUGCAAAAUAAAUUAUAAACAAAAUCAUUUGUUAUUAACAAAUACCAUGAAAAUUGCUUGGAAAAAUAUGGAAAAAUCAUCGAAUGAAGAUCUUUGGACUCUCAAUCAGAACAGCCAUGAAUUGUUCCUUAAUCUCUGUAAACACUGAAGCUGUGUAUUUUUAAAGAUCAACACACACACACUCAAACCUAUCUAUAUCUGUGUGCUGGUGAACUUUGAAAAUUGAUAGCGCCAUCUGUUACAGAGAUGGAAAGAAAAUCAUGAGACGAAAAAGACUCUAUAAAAUACGGACUAAAAGAUCCGCUAUUAAAAAUACUUAAUAAUCAGUAAAUAAUUACAAUUGUUAUAAACAAAAUAUAAUUGAAAAAUUCCGAAAAAUAUGGUUACAAUCAUAAAAUGAACUUUGCAAUAUCCAGAAUACGGAAUCAUUAGAAAUUUUCCUUAAUAUUCAUACACAAAAACGUUCUGAAUUAAAUAAAAAUACUCACACACACGCACACAUGUAAAAGCGUAUAUCCAUGUGAUCGAUUAAACUUUUCGGAUUUUUAGAAGCUUUCAUAUGGGAAAUAUCGAAAAAUGUUUAAGAUAAAAAGUUUAUUAUAAAUCAGGAACUUUAUGAGUAUGAAAGAAAACAUUCAAAAAGUUAAAAGACACUUUUAUUGUCUACUGACAUGUCAAUGAAAUCACGGUGGAAAAUUCAAGAAAAAUGUUAAAUAAUUCGAGUUUAGUAUACAUAAUGAAAAUAUGGAGGAAAAUAUCACAGAAAUGGAAAUAGAAAAAUGUCAAAUAUUAGGUCAUGAGACACUUUAAACAAUUAAUGCCUAAUAACGUAUAAACAAACAUACAUAUUCGAAAACAAAAAUCACCAAGCAUUAGUUUAUUGAAUUCACAAUAUAAACAGCUGUAAUUUGGAUUUUUUAAGGUUAUAAAUCAUGGCGUAAAUAACUAAUAGACACCUUUUCAAGGUCAAAUUUUUAAUUGUGAAUAUCUCCGAAAAUUGAAGAGAUAAAAAUCAGAAAUUUGGUACACAAGGAUGUUAAAUCGAGGUCUUUCAGAUACACUCGAGCACAUUCAUCUAAAUUGAUAAAUAACAUUGUUAUCAAUUAUCAAAAUAUUAUAAAAAUAGGUGAAACACGAUUUUUUGUUAUAAUCACAUUUCUAGUACUAAAAUAGGUUCAAAAAUGAAUUUUGUCAAAAAAGUUAAGAAACAAUGUUAAUAGACUAAAAUUUACAUUGACAGUACCAUAAGGACAUCACAAGGAAACGUUAAAGCCAUAAUGACAAACAAAUUUAAAUUUUGCUCAAAAGCAAUUAUUUUAUAAUGGAAAAUAGCAUUAAUAAUUUAAAAUUUCAAAUAAUGUUAAAAUUAAAGCUGAAAUAGAAUUUAAAAGAGCAUAGUGGGUCCCACAGUAUUAGCCAUAUGCCAUACACAGUACAUAGGGACACACUCAACGUGUGAUCCCCACUCUCAGCAACAAGUCUCCCACGCAACGCACUACGCCCACUCCUGCGCGCCAGAGACACUCCGUGUAUUACGUCUUUAUUCCACUCGAUGUACCUCUCGACGCUGGAGCAAACAGUCAGUUCAACGCCAACUCUUGAAAUCGCCGGUCAUACGCUCCGAAGAGCUCCGUGAAUUAAAUUCAAAAAAUUUGAAAACAAAUAUAUCGGAAGUGAAAAAUAAAGAACUGAACGUGUGUAAUCGAAGGAGCAUUCCACAGCCUGCCAGAACACGGUUGGACUUCUCCGACGGCCCAAAUUACCAUCAUCAUCUGAGCUUUCAGUACUGAUCCGGUGUACCUUCAUCGCACUAUUGCCAGACGAGUCAGGAAAAAGGAAUAAGGGAUAAUAAUGGACCCACCACAGAUUGGCAGCCUACACAAAAUUGGAACUAUGCAACAAACCGUAAGCAGAAUCCAAUCUGCAACGGAUGCUUUGAGAACUGCCUUGCGUCAGGAGUAUUUUUACUUUAACCGAAUAACCAAGAAACACUACUCGGACAGGAUGAUCCGAAUACUUCGUUACCAGAUGUUAAUACUGAAACUCCAGAUUGAGGAAUUACAACAACUAAUUGAGCAGGAAUUAAAACAUCCUGGAGAAUACCGAGGGGAAGACCUUUCAACCCGUAAAGACUAAUACUACACGAAGAUGAGUAAGAGUUGAUUGGAAGGGGAAGACCUUCAACAAUAUGGAGAUCAUGGAUAUCGCUCCUCUCAUUUUUUUUUCUUUAUCUCAAUUUUUAGAAUAUAACCGUAUGUUAAUACUUAUUAUGAAGAAUCGACUAUUGAAUCUUGACAAUAUUCAAUCCACAAUAUAUUUACCUUGCUUUAGCUAUGAUACAGCAUAGCACUGACUUGAAACCGCCCGUGGUUUUCACAAGUUUUCAUUUUGAUUAUUAUUCUUUAUUAAUCAUCCUUUUUCUCGUUUUUUUUUUCUAUCUUCUCAUUAUUAUAAAUGCCCCGCAUGGCUAAUCAUAAUGCUAAACUGCCGGAAUAUGUGCCAUGCUUUAAGAGCUAAUUAUAAUUUUUGUUUUUUUUACCUUACCAUUGUGAGAAUGAUACCAAAUGUAAGAUUAUAUAAAUUAUAUGGUUUAACCAUCAUAAUCAUGACAUAUUCAUUUUCGAUCGAGCUAAUUAUCCCUACAAUCAUUCUAUAUCUAAAAUCCUAUCCCUAAUCACUCCCACCUCAUUAAGUUGCACAAUCAGAUCUGCUUAAAACUAAUGGGCAGAUGGAGAUUCGAGGAUUGGAGAUGCGGAUGUUAUAAGUAUCCUAUGUUUCUGCACUUAUCAUGAUAUUUCUUUACGUAGAACAUAUAAAUCCCUACCACUGCUAAGGUUACACCGCUAUGUUUUGGCUGAUUUUCGCAAAUAUGGCACGUGAUGUGAUAUUAGCAAAUUUACAUAUCUAAGCAAUAAUUAAGUUUGGUAGAAUAGCACACAGAGAUACAGGGGAAACCGUAAUGCGCUUCGGAAUGCAACUAGAUAUCGAGAAUUCUGUCUCAUAGAACACGAUUUAAUCAGGGAAAUUAUUGGAUCGAAAAUGAGACUCACUUAUAUGAAAUAUCGCAUUACAUUACAGAAAAUGGAACCGGGCAAAACGAAAGUCUCUCAUAUAAGAAUAUGGAGGAAUCCGCAUAAAGAAAUAGUAGAAGCGAGAAUGAGGAAACAACGGGUUCUUAUUAUCGCGAGACAGUUACAAAGGAAGGUCAUCAAGAUGAGGGGUCUGAUACAGACCUUUGGAAAAUAUUGCGAGAACAAAAUCAAAGAAAUCGAGAGCGUAGAAAGCCACGAAGAGCUCGAAGAAGUAUCAGAAACUGAUUCCUAUAUGAGCCCUGACGACUAAGCUUUGUUUGACUAGAUGUUUACGGAGUUAGAUGGGAGAAACUUGCAUCCUGAACAAGCAGCUUUACGUGAAUGAAAUGAAUACAUAAUCACGUAAUAAAUUCCACAUUCUAUCAUGUGAAUGGAGUUACUCUAAAGGCGGGUCAUUUAUCAAUUUAGAGUUCUCAAUCAUUAUUGUCUUCAGCAGACGUACGAAACAAAAAUAUUGUCCUACUUGCGAAUUGCCGAUUUUAAUAAACCUCUUUAUAAGAAUUCAUCUCACAGUAAUGUUAUGACUAGAUAAGAAUCUAUUCCAUAAGAGUAUUAUAUAAAAUUACUACUAUAAAUCAAUAAUUGUAAAUACGAACGAGAACUACAUGAGAAUGAGAAACAAUUGAGUCCUUUCAACAAAUAUAUAUAGGUCACAUUCCCAAAUAUAAUCGAACUCUCCGGGGUGUUAUCCGGUCGGUCGAGGUUUGUGUCUUGAUGAUCUCCAACCCAGACAACGGAAGCAGUACUAGCACUAUAACAAUCUUCGCUUCUUCUUACAUAUCUUCUCAUCAACCAACAAUCGCAAUUGGCUUCCUUCUUAAACUGGGAAAUUUUCAAAAAUCGAAUAUUUAUCAUCAUGUGUGCUGUUAUUUGUGCAUAAAAAUAUGUAAAUCCACACAUCUGAAAAUUCUCAUCAGGGGAUUACAAGAAAACAGUAUCACUCAGCCCCAUGGACUCCAGGAGCUGGCCGUACCAAAAUAAGAAGCACAAGGAAUUUCACCACAGACGUGAUGAGAUAGAAACUUCUCAUGCUAAAGAAAGUAUGACGUAUUCUGAAUCGAGAUCAAUGGCUACCCAAACGACACAGAAGGCUCCACAAGCUGGAAAUUUUCAAACACUGCCAAAUUUCUCAGUUUUUCACCAACUCCUUCGGAUGAAGCAGUUAUCGAAGGAGCUAGACGAAAUUGCAGAAAGACAACAAUGGAUACAGCAGCAGAUAGAAGAUAUUUGCGCCACCUUGCUAGACGAAUAACAACUCCUCAAUGAGCAAAACCAGGCACGUAGAUCACAGACAUUGAUUUCGAUCCGACCGCGACACCUUGGGAGGGUGAACAGAUUUUUAGAAAACAGAAAAAAAAAAAAAAAAUUAAUUAAAAUUAAAUUAAAAACAAAAAGAACAAAACAAAAUAUGAUAAUCAAAUAACGAUAGUAGUUAAUUUUAUUCACUAUUUUUAUAUAACAACAUCAAGAAAUAAUGUUAACCUUAUAACUAAUUUUUUAUCAUUAGCAAUAACGCAUAUAUACGAAAUACAGGCUAUACGCAAAUAUGACAAUGACGGAGUGAUGGCAUACUACCCAAUCACCCCAAUAAAAUAAGGAAUAAUAAUAACUAUCAAUAAUUACAAUAAGCCAAAUGAAGUCAUACAAAAGUUGAAGGAAAAUAUUCCUCUAUAUAGCAAUUCAAGGUAGCUCAUCACUAGAAAUAAUGUCCAAUUAAUGAACUAAUGUAAUUAAUUACUGUAGCAAGUAUUUGUAGCCUGAGAACAAUGUAAUUACGAUUGUUUGUACUUAGCUUUAAGUGAUUUUGGUAUAGGUAAAAGAAAAAAAAAAGACAAGGGUAUUAAUAGAAGUUCCUAUUUUUAUGACUAUUCUAUAUUAGACACUUUUAUAACUACCUUGAAAAUAUAUUGCAAAGAGGUUUGGAACCUAUACGCUGAAGGUCAGCGUAUCAGAGGAUCCUCUUGGUGAAUACUGAAAAUUUUAAUCAGUUUACUUUGCUUUUGUUUGACUUCGUUAGAUUACAUAGUGUGAGGUGUAGUAAAAAUAUUUUGCUAACAUGAGCAUGCGUUGUCACUAUGGCUACUUAAAUGUCUAUAGAUAAAAUUGAUAUUUGGGGAAAACCACAUCAAGAAAGAAAUCGGUUGAAGGUUCAAAGCAUUAAGAGUAGAGGCUGGAAAUUGUAGUCCGAAUCUACUGAAGUACAAAAAAAAAAAAAAAAAAAAAAAAAAAAAAACCAUAAGUUACUAUAUUUUAAGUUGUUUUUGUCGUUUUGCAGACAAAAACAACUUUUCCCACCAUCGUCAUGUGACGUAUUAUAAAUCCGUCUAUAAAAAAAUUGGAUAGAAUAACAGACGUAAAAAUUCAAAGGUUAUAAUAAAUGGCAGCCAAUCGGAUCAUGAAAGUUCAUAUAUGUUUGAUGUAUUUUGUCUCAAUGAUUAAGGAAUAGAUGACACAAAUUUUUAUUUCUUUACAAGCAAUUACUUUUCAAGUUGUUCUAGUCGUUUUGCAGACAAAAACAACUUAUCCCACCAUCGUCAUGUUACGUAUUCACAUACGUUUCUCCCCAAAGAUACACCUUUUCAUAAAAAAAACGGAAUUUUGUUAAAUAAUGAAAUGUUCUAAAUACUUAAAAAAAUUAAUAACAUCGAAAUAAUAAUAAGAAGAAAAAUACUUUAUGGAUUUAUUGCAAAAUAAACACGUCAGGAAUUUACGUUUGAGUCAGAAAGCGAAAUGAAAGACCAAAAGAAGAAACUAGGAUAGAGAUCGGGACAGUAUUUCUCACUCUGACAUUGUUUACUACACAAAUUGAUAGUCAUUGCACAUACAUAAAAUAAAUUUAAUUUUUCAAUUGGGACCAAUAAGGAGCCCACGAAUCAAUGACAAAGAUGAAAUUGGUAACAGUGUUGGAGCAGGUGAGGAGCCGCGAGGACGAGUAACGUAAUCUCUUGAGCAGGGACACUUUUGAAAUCUGGAAAUAUUCAGCGAAAAGACACAAAGGUAUAAGUUCUGAAAUAAAGUACAUUGAUAGAGAACGUUAAAAGAAUAUUACAAUACUAAAAAAAUGAACGUCUCCACGUAAAAACUGAUUUUACGCGAUAAUUAAUAUUAAUGCAAAAUAUGACGUCACAAGUCAUAACGUGUGCAAAAUAAUUUGCGAAUCAAGAGUAAAGAAUACCCAAAAUAUCUAUAAAACACUAUUCCUUAAUCUUUAAAAAUCAAAAAGAUAUGAAUUAGAGAAAAAGUAAUAAUAUACUCAAACAUAUUUGUCCUUGUAUAAGUUAAAAAUUAAUUUAUUUAUAGCGCCAUCUGUAUGAAAGAUAGAAUAUAAUACUUCAUACGAAAUAUGCUCAGUAAAAUCCGGACUAUUAGAUCCACAAACGAAAUUGCAAAAUAAAUUAUAAACAAAAUCAUUUGUUAUUAACAAAUACCAUGAAAAUUGCUUGGAAAAAUAUGGAAAAAUCAUCGAAUGAAGAUCUUUGGACUCUCAAUCAGAACAGCCAUGAAUUGUUCCUUAAUCUCUGUAAACACUGAAGCUGUGUAUUUUUAAAGAUCAACACACACACACUCAAACCUAUCUAUAUCUGUGUGCUGGUGAACUUUGAAAAUUGAUAGCGCCAUCUGUUACAGAGAUGGAAAGAAAAUCAUGAGACGAAAAAGACUCUAUAAAAUACGGACUAAAAGAUCCGCUAUUAAAAAUACUUAAUAAUCAGUAAAUAAUUACAAUUGUUAUAAACAAAAUAUAAUUGAAAAAUUCCGAAAAAUAUGGUUACAAUCAUAAAAUGAACUUUGCAAUAUCCAGAAUACGGAAUCAUUAGAAAUUUUCCUUAAUAUUCAUACACAAAAACGUUCUGAAUUAAAUAAAAAUACUCACACACACGCACACAUGUAAAAGCGUAUAUCCAUGUGAUCGAUUAAACUUUUCGGAUUUUUAGAAGCUUUCAUAUGGGAAAUAUCGAAAAAUGUUUAAGAUAAAAAGUUUAUUAUAAAUCAGGAACUUUAUGAGUAUGAAAGAAAACAUUCAAAAAGUUAAAAGACACUUUUAUUGUCUACUGACAUGUCAAUGAAAUCACGGUGGAAAAUUCAAGAAAAAUGUUAAAUAAUUCGAGUUUAGUAUACAUAAUGAAAAUAUGGAGGAAAAUAUCACAGAAAUGGAAAUAGAAAAAUGUCAAAUAUUAGGUCAUGAGACACUUUAAACAAUUAAUGCCUAAUAACGUAUAAACAAACAUACAUAUUCGAAAACAAAAAUCACCAAGCAUUAGUUUAUUGAAUUCACAAUAUAAACAGCUGUAAUUUGGAUUUUUUAAGGUUAUAAAUCAUGGCGUAAAUAACUAAUAGACACCUUUUCAAGGUCAAAUUUUUAAUUGUGAAUAUCUCCGAAAAUUGAAGAGAUAAAAAUCAGAAAUUUGGUACACAAGGAUGUUAAAUCGAGGUCUUUCAGAUACACUCGAGCACAUUCAUCUAAAUUGAUAAAUAACAUUGUUAUCAAUUAUCAAAAUAUUAUAAAAAUAGGUGAAACACGAUUUUUUGUUAUAAUCACAUUUCUAGUACUAAAAUAGGUUCAAAAAUGAAUUUUGUCAAAAAAGUUAAGAAACAAUGUUAAUAGACUAAAAUUUACAUUGACAGUACCAUAAGGACAUCACAAGGAAACGUUAAAGCCAUAAUGACAAACAAAUUUAAAUUUUGCUCAAAAGCAAUUAUUUUAUAAUGGAAAAUAGCAUUAAUAAUUUAAAAUUUCAAAUAAUGUUAAAAUUAAAGCUGAAAUAGAAUUUAAAAGAGCAUAGUGGGUCCCACAGUAUUAGCCAUAUGCCAUACACAGUACAUAGGGACACACUCAACGUGUGAUCCCCACUCUCAGCAACAAGUCUCCCACGCAACGCACUACGCCCACUCCUGCGCGCCAGAGACACUCCGUGUAUUACGUCUUUAUUCCACUCGAUGUACCUCUCGACGCUGGAGCAAACAGUCAGUUCAACGCCAACUCUUGAAAUCGCCGGUCAUACGCUCCGAAGAGCUCCGUGAAUUAAAUUCAAAGUAACCAGUUCGGACUUGGAAUAAUUUGUGAAUUGUGGACUUAUAAAUUUCUCGCGUUCUGUCCUCUUGGACAUAAAAAUGUUUUAAAAUAUUUCUUUACGAUUCUAUCUUAGGCCGGUGAACAUUUAAUAACUUAGAAAUUCUACUCUAUUCGACAAUUGACUUCGAAAAUAAAUUUUUCAUUUUAAUAUAAUUUUCAUCGUGAAAAUUUCCAGUCCACAAUUCCAGAUUUAAAUAAAUAAUUUUCGUUUAAACCGAUAAUUCCGGUCCGAUUUUGACGGUGCAUUGUACUGACUGCGCGCUCCAUUUUAUUCUUUUUGAAAUUUAAAUAAAUAUUAAAUUAGAUUUUUCGGUCGUUCUGUAAAUCACAACAUUUGGUGUCUUCUCAAAAAUAAUACACAUCCUAUUCCAUCCUAUCAACCCCGUUGGUUUACUGAUAAAUUCAGCAAACUUGCGGCUGAUAAAAGUUGACUAUGGAGAACUGUGGCUGACUGGCUAGGUUAGCGUCAGGAUUAUCUGAUGUGAUCCUGGUGAGGCAAGUCGCGUUCUUCUAGGUUAACUAUCAACCCCGCUGGUUUUUGAGGACUACUAACUGGCCCUUUUGGGACGGUCUGUUGAUUUUGGAAACCUGCGGUUGAUAUCCGUCAACCCCGCUUUCUCGUGGAUCAAUUAAUCGUCCCUUACGGAUGAUUCUUUGGACCUGAGAUUAUGCGGUUGACAUUUCUUCCUAAUUUUUGGUUUGUUCCCUAUAUAGAUUCCUAUAAAUUAUUUUACCCAUUCCUCAUCCGAAUAAAAUCCUAUUUUUUACCGAAUACAUCGCUCGGGUAUUUUACAAUGCACUCGACGUCAAAAUCUUAAAACAAGUAAUAAAUAAAUAAAUAAAUUUACGUGAAUAAU
RNA transcript from Diachasmimorpha longicaudata, 10131 nucleotides. RefSeq lists it as uncharacterized. NCBI's taxonomy places the organism in Eukaryota, Metazoa, Arthropoda, Insecta, Hymenoptera, Braconidae. The transcript has 3 exons. The record is from RefSeq and is a predicted model, not a curated record.